This is a long non-coding RNA of Cyprinus carpio (common carp), 147 nucleotides long. RefSeq lists it as uncharacterized. The transcript is spliced from 3 exons. NCBI's taxonomy places the organism in Eukaryota, Metazoa, Chordata, Actinopteri, Cypriniformes, Cyprinidae. The record is from RefSeq and is a predicted model, not a curated record.
GCUCGCUUUCGGUAACGUGUCUCUGAUUCCUCUGCGCGGCAGUGAGAACGAGAUGGGAAUAGUGUCGCCGCUUUCACCGCCGAUCCUCUCGCCCUCUUCAGAAAUGUUUGACGGAGUGAACGGUGUUCAGGAACUGAAGGUGUGUGC